Molecule: long non-coding RNA, 1763 nt
Organism: Homo sapiens (human)
Lineage: Eukaryota; Metazoa; Chordata; Mammalia; Primates; Hominidae
Gene: ERVK13-1
Product: endogenous retrovirus group K13 member 1
Source: Ensembl
GAGUCAUGUCAAAGUUUGUGGGGUUAACCUGCACCCAGUGACAGUCAUGGCGAAGUUUGUGAGGUUAACUCGCACCCAGUAACGCUGUUCCAAUGCAAGGUGUGUAUUUGGUGUCAUCCACGGGAAGAGGAAACAGCAAAUUUUCUCAUGGCCUUGGCAGUUCCACAUGAUGGACAUUUCAUAUCUGCAGUUUUCUUCGCAUGAGAUGGCUUUUUUGCACAAAAACACUGGAAUCCAGUGAGCAAGAAUGAUAGAAUGCAAGAUGGAUUUCCACAUGAGGAAGUGUCACGAACAAGCGUUUUGCAUCUCUGUCAGCUGGAUUCCCCCAUGUGUACGUAUGUGAGAACAUGCCGUGUUUCCUGUCUGUAAUGGUAGAGGCAGCCCUGAUACUGGAUUUUCACCUGAGGAUGGAUAGAUCUUCAGGGUUCAAGUGGGUUUGCAUCUGGACUUUAGGGUGGCCCUGUAGGCCCUGUGUGAGAAGCCCCCUUCCCAGUGAACUUUCCCUUGUGUGCCCGCGUGGACAGCCAACAGGGGGAGCAGUGCGAGCGUGAAGGCAGACAGUGGCCUGGCCCAGUCUGAUGGGAGAGACCCACCGACCCUGUGGGGCUGGUCCCUACAUCUGGCGCUCUGACGUGGGGCUCUCCCUCGCUGUGUGAAGUUGCACCCUGAGUGCGGGAUCAGCGGAGGAGUUCAACGAGAGAUUCCUGAGGAUUGCAGUCUAUAAACUUGGUGUCUGCAGAUGCCUCUAAGGAGUCCGAAACCAAGUCCGAAGUCAACAACAAGCAAUGAUGGCGAUGGCGAUUCUAGUUAAUAAAAAGGGGGGAGAUGUGGGCGGCAAGCCACCCAGGCACCGAGGCAAGAGACAGAGGACACGAGCUGUUCCAGUAUAAUAAAAUAUAAAACAAGAAUAGUUAUACCAGAUAUAGAUCUUAGAUAUGAUUAUAUACGAAUAUCAUUAAUCAUGAGUUUGUAGCAAUUACUUUUUAUUCCAAUAUUAUGAUAAUCCUCGCUCUAUAAUCAUAGCCUAGGAAAAACCAGGCCAUACAGAGAUAGGAGCUGAGGGGACAUAGUGAAGUGUGACCAGAAGACAAGAGUGCGAGCCUUCUGUUAUGCCCGGACAGGGCCACCAGAGGGCUCCUUGGUCUAGCGGUGACGCCAGCGUCUGGGAAGACACCCGUUACCAGGCGGAUCGUGGCCCAGCCGUAGCAAAAGGUGUCAAGGAACACCUUUUGCAAAAGGUGUCAACACCCGCUACUUAGCAGACUGGGAAAGGGGGGCGGUCUCCCUUUCCCCGGGGGAGUUUAGAGAAGACUCUGUUCCUCCACCUCUUGUGGAGGGCCUGACAUCAGUCAGGCUUGCCCGUAGUUAUCCGGAGGCCUAACUGUCUCCCUGUGAUGCUGUGCUUCAGUGGUCACGCUCCUAGUCUGCCUUCAUUUUCCAUCCUGUACACCUGGCUCUGCCUUCUAGAUAGCAGUAGUAAAUUAGUGAAAAUACUAAUAGUCCCUGAUAUGCAGAAAUAAUGGCAUAAGCUGUCUUUCUCUCUGUCUCCUCUCCCUCUCUGCCUCGGCUGCCAGGCAGGGAAGGGCCCCCUGUCCAGUGGACACAUGACCCAUGUGACCUUACCUAUCAUUGGAGGUGACUCACAUUCUUUACCCUGCCCCUUCUGCCUUGUAUCCAAUAACAGCGCAGUCAGACAUUCAGGGCCACUACCGGUCUCCGCACAUUGGUGGUAGUGGUCCCCCGGGCCCAGCUGCCUUUUCUCU